GCAACCCAGCUUUGGCACACAGUGUAGCAGCUGUUAUGGUUCUCCACGUAUGUUUCUCUGUGUGUGUCAUGUCUGCACACACAGAGAUAGCUGAGCCUCCGUCCUCCUCAGCUCCUAUCUUCCCAGUGCAAUGAACACCAGCUGUUCCCUUCCUCUUUGGCUCCCAUGGCAUCCACAAUCUCUUGCAGAAAAAGGAGGAGUGCCUGUUCCCUCUUACAGGGAGCCACCCGUUUGCUUUUUGGGACAAUUCUCUUAUACCUCUGUCAAAACUGGCUAGGACUCCCUGGGUCCAACUGAGGGUCCAAUUUCUCUGUGUUUAAUCUUUUGUCAUCUCUCUCCCCACUGGCUCAUCAGGGAGGUGCUGAAGGCUGAAGAAAAGGAAGUCCCUGAGGACUCACUAGAGGAAUGUGCCAUCACUUGUUCAAAUAGCCACAGCCCUUCUGACUCCAACCAGCCACACAGGAACACCAAAACCACAUUUGAGGAAGACAAAGUCGACUCUACACUGGUUAUAGACAGUGAAUCCUCUCAUAAUGAAUGGGAGGAUGCUCUACACAUUCUCCCAGAAAAUCAAAGUGAUCAUGAGGAAGAGGAAGAAGGGCCAGUGUCUCCCAGGUAACACUGUGGAAUUGUGGGCUGUUACUUCAAUAGUGACACUUGGAGACUGCAGAUCCAGAGAAAACAAGGAAGUGAUGAAUAGAACUAUUUCUUCCAUUCACCCAGCUACAAAUUGUCCUUAUUAACACUGUUGGGGGCUAUUCAUGGCACUUGUAUUGGUUUUAAUUUUGUAGUCCUCUCAAGACAGGAACCUGCAAUCAGAUGAGCCAGGUGAACUAACCAAACAGGGAUUUCCUGGUGUUGCCUGUUCUCUCCCACGUGUCUAAAUCCAGGGAGAGAUGCAUAUAUGCUUUCUGCCCAUUUGUUGUUAGUAUGUUUGCUAGUAUCUGUGCAAGAGAAGAAAUUCAGAAAAUAAACAUAUAUCAAAAUAUUGGAAAAAGGAGGCCCUUAAUACACAGGCUGUAUGUCUGCACUGCCUCAAGAGCUCUGUUCACUUGAAUGAUGCAUGUAAAAUUCAACAUAAUUUAUGUAAAGUAGUUAAAGUCCUGUGUCAGUUCUCUGUGCUGCAAGUCAUGAUGGUAGUUUACAGGGAGAGUCUGGGUGCUCUGCAGUGGCUCAUCUGUGGCAAAUGCACUGAGCAUGACCAGCACAUUUUCGAUCUCUCCCCAAGACAGUCACUUUCCACCCUGCAUUUAGAAG
This 1257-nucleotide long non-coding RNA is filed under the name Macaca mulatta (Rhesus monkey). RNAcentral's name for it is "lncRNA (ENSMMUG00000056473.1)". The record is from RNAcentral. Lineage: Eukaryota; Metazoa; Chordata; Mammalia; Primates; Cercopithecidae.